Molecule: ribosomal RNA, 229 nt
Filed under: uncultured bacterium
Lineage: Bacteria
Description: partial 16S ribosomal RNA
Rfam family: Bacterial small subunit ribosomal RNA
Source: RNAcentral
UGCGCAGGCGGCGUAUUAAGUCAGUGGUGAAAUCUCUCGGCUCAACCGAGAAACUGCCAUUGAAACUGAUAAGCUUGAGUGUAGUUGUAGUAGGCGGAAUAUAGCAUGUAGCGGUGAAAUGCUUAGAUAUGCUAUAGAACACCGAUCGCGAAGGCAGCUUACUAAACUAUCACUGACGCUCAUGCACGAAAGCGUGGGGAGCAAACAGGAUUAGAUACCCUGGUAGUCC